This 139-nucleotide ribosomal RNA is filed under the name uncultured fungus. Its description in RNAcentral is "partial 28S ribosomal RNA". Lineage: Eukaryota; Fungi. The record is from RNAcentral.
UCUUGACCUCGGAUCAGGUAGGGAUACCCGCUGAACUUAAGCAUAUCAAUAAGCGGAGGAAGGAGUCCCGCUGAGCGUAAGCUUAUCAUAUGGCCGAGGAAAAGUAGGACUACCCGCUGAACUUAAGCAUAUCAAUAUU